RNAcentral lists this small RNA (28 nucleotides) under Bombyx mori (domestic silkworm). Its description in RNAcentral is "ovarian small RNA-31903". The record is from RNAcentral. Lineage: Eukaryota; Metazoa; Arthropoda; Insecta; Lepidoptera; Bombycidae.
UGACUAUUAAGGAACGAACUUAACUGGU